UUGCUAUAGGGAACAAAUUAGAAAAAAGACUUGCUACAGUGGAUCUUCUACCCCUCAUUUGUUUUUCUCAUUGCCAACCCUAGUAUUGUACUUAUUCAUCCAUUGGACAAGUGGGAAUUUGGAAUAGUAUAAGAGUUGGGUGUUCCGCAGAAUUGAAAUUGAAAUUGAAAUGUGGAUAUAUCUAGUCCUGCUCUGAUUCAUCCAUUCAAAAAUCAAUGUUGAUAAUGAAUAAAAAGUCAAAGUAUAAUUGGAUCUGAUUGUAGGAAUGGAGCAAUAGUUGUAUCUGCUGUUGAAUUGUCACAAUAUUUGAGCAGCCACAAGUACAAAGAUGGAGAAAACCUUAAUACCAAACUAGCGAUGUUUUCAAGAGGAUAUUAUUCUAGGCUCCAUGUGUUUUGUUUCGGCUUAAGUGAAUAGCUCACUAAGUACUUUCAUUUUUCAUUAAUACUCAUUACUACUAUUCUCACUCAAUGCAUAUGCAGCCGGAUACCUGGCUCUCAUAACUACUCCUAUUCUUGGAGUUAUUUGUUACUGCCAUGGUUCCACAUAGGUCUAUUUCUAGGUUUUGUCAGCAUUCUGGUUUAUCUCAUGUUAAUCCAGCCAAUGGUGUUCUAAUGGACACUGGUGUCACAAUAGCUCAUUGGCCGAAGCUCUUCUUCCAAAAACUAGGGAUUAAGACUACUGAAGAUCAUGGUGGAUGGGACUGGCCAUUUCCAGUGAGUACUAGUUCGGCAGAGUUUUAUCCUUCCCUUUCUUAAUGUAUCUCCAAAUGUUGAGCUGUCCGGCACAUUUGGAGCUUCAAAUGGAUCUAGACAGUCAUGGAGCAAUAUGUCUAUUUCAAAGAACCCUCAGCCUCCGCCAUUGUCAAACUUAAAUGGGAUACAAGACCUGGGAAAUGGAUCUUCAUUUGUUUCAGAUUAUAUUGGUUCAAAUUCUAAGGACACAAGAUCUCAAAAUUUCAAAAUCGCUUGGUAUCAGCAGUUCACUGUUGCAAAUGGAUGGAAGUAGUGUCUUCUCGAGUGUUGAGUUGAGACUUGGGCAUCCAUCCCAGCAAAGCAAAAAGUUGGGAAGUUUAGCUACACAAACUUUUGAGUAUCAUUACAUUGUCAAACCAAUAAAAUAUCAACAACCAUUGUUUCCAGAGCCCCUUAUGCAUAAAGGUCUGGUAUAAUUUGUGAAUUGAUCCCUUUUGUUCUUGAUAUCUCUUCAAGCUUACACCUGUUAGUGUCACACAACUGUUGAAUCACAGGCAGUGGAAGAAAGCAAGUCAAAUUUUCAUAUGUUGAAUUUGAGUUCAAGAAGUGGAAUGUGCCAGCCAGACCUUGUCAAGUCUGCCUAUGAACUCCACACUGCAACAAGUCAAUCCAGAACUAGAAAUUCUAUAUUUCCUGUGGUACAAGCAUAGGUCAAGGUUUCUUCAGAAGGACUACUGUACUCUUAAGAUAUCAAAAAUAUGGUUUAUGGAAGUCAUACUCCAUCCGGAGAACCUCAGUGUAAAUCCCUUACUCUAAAGUGCAACCAAAUUGAUUUUCAUUGUGCUAGCGGUAUGAUGACUAAUAAGGAAUUUAAUGUUGACGCUUCAUGUGCUCUUGUACGUUAGAACAAUGAUAAAGUUGUGGCCAACAAUAUUGUUAAUUUACACAGUGCUGCUGAGUUGAACUUUGGACUCUACUCCAAGAAUUACAAAAAUAGAAGGACUGUUAAGAGAAUUGUGGAAGGGAUUAGUCAUACCAAUCACUUGGCCUUACAUGAGAACUGUUAGGAUCGAAUUCACGUUCACACACUAGAUGAAUGAAGAACACAAGAACUUUCAAGAGAAAGAGAUGAGAGAUCUAGAGAGAGAAAGAGAAAACCCAAUAUUUCGUGGUAACACUCCGUGAGUAAACUUCCACGGCGAUGAGAUAUACUUAUUAAUAAAUCAGAGUAUUUUUGGUUACAGAGAAUAAAUAGGAAAGCCUAAAAUUUAGUUCGGCGCGCUGCCCCA
Molecule: non-coding RNA, 1984 nt
Organism: Solanum lycopersicum (tomato)
Lineage: Eukaryota; Viridiplantae; Streptophyta; Magnoliopsida; Solanales; Solanaceae
Source: RefSeq, a predicted model, not a curated record